GAUGAAGAACGUAGCGAAAUGCGAUAAGUAAUGCGAAUUGCAGAAUUUCCGUGAGGCAUCGAAUCUUUGAACGCACAUUGCGCCCAUUAGUAUUCUAGUGGGCAUGCCUGUUCGAGCGUCAUUUCAACCCUUAAGCUUAGCUUAGUAUUGGGAAUCUGCUUAACCGCAGCUCCUUAAAUCCAGUUGGCAGAGCACAGCUGUACUCUGAGCGUAGUAAUUCAUUAUCUCGCUUUCUGAAGACAGUCGUACGAUAGCCACAAACUUGCAUCUUGCAAACUUUUUAAUGGUUGACCUCGGAUCAGGUAGGAAUACCCGCUGAACUUACGCAUAUCAAUAAGCGGAGGA
RNAcentral lists this unclassified non-coding RNA (345 nucleotides) under soil metagenome. RNAcentral's name for it is "partial contains 5.8S ribosomal RNA, internal transcribed spacer 2, and large subunit ribosomal RNA". The stretch from base 1 to 121 matches the Rfam family "5.8S ribosomal RNA", at positions 35 to 154 of the family's 154-position model. The record is from RNAcentral.